Molecule: ribosomal RNA, 253 nt
Filed under: uncultured bacterium
Lineage: Bacteria
Description: partial 16S ribosomal RNA
Rfam family: Bacterial small subunit ribosomal RNA
Source: RNAcentral
UACGUAGGGACCGAGCGUUGUCCGGAAUCAUUGGGCGUAAAGAGCGUGUAGGCGGCCACUUAAGUCCUGCGUGAAAUCUUGCGGCUCAACCGCAAGCGGUCGUGGGAAACUGGGUGGCUAGAGUGUGGCAGAGGGGGGUGGAAUUCCACGUGUAGCAGUGAAAUGCGUAGAUAUGUGGAGGAACACCGAUGGCGAAGGCAGCCCCCUGGGUUAACACUGACGCUCAUGCACGAAAGCGUGGGGAGCAAACGGG